AAACUUAAAUGAAUUGACGGGGACCCGCACAAGCGGUGGAUGAUGUGGUUUAAUUCGAUGCAACGCGAAAACUUACCCACCUUUGACAUGUACGGAAUCCUUUAGAGAUAGAGGAGUGCUCGAAAGAGAGCCGUAACACAGGUGCUGCAUGGCUGUCGUCAGCUCGUGUCGUGAGAUGUUGGGUUAAGUCCCGCAACGAGCGCAACCCUUGUCAUUAGUUGCUACAUUUGGUUGGGCACUCUAAUGAGACUGCCGGUGACAAGCCGGAGGAAGGUGGGGAUGACGUCAAGUCCUCAUGGCCCUUAUAGGUGGGGCUACACACGUCAUACAAUGGCUGGUACAAAGGGUUGCCAACCCGCGAGGGGGAGCUAAUCCCACAAAGCCAGUCGUAGUCCGGAUCGUAGUCUGCAACUCGACUACGUGAAGUCGGAAUCGCUAGUAAUCGUGGAUCAGAAUGUCACGGUGAAUACGUUCCCGGGUCUU
Molecule: ribosomal RNA, 483 nt
Filed under: uncultured Rhodoferax sp.
Lineage: Bacteria; Pseudomonadati; Pseudomonadota; Betaproteobacteria; Burkholderiales; Comamonadaceae
Description: bacterial SSU rRNA
Rfam family: Bacterial small subunit ribosomal RNA
Source: RNAcentral